UACGAAGGGGGCUAGCGUUGUUCGGAAUCACUGGGCGUAAAGCGCGUGUAGGCGGCCUGAUCAGUCGGGGGUGAAAGCCUGUGGCUCAACCACAGAAUGGCCUUCGAUACUGUCGGGCUUGAGACCGGAAGAGGUAAGUGGAACUGCGAGUGUAGAGGUGAAAUUCGUAGAUAUUCGCAAGAACACCAGUGGCGAAGGCGGCUUACUGGUCCGGAUCUGACGCUGAGGCGCGAAAGCGUGGGGAGCAAACAGG
Molecule: ribosomal RNA, 253 nt
Filed under: uncultured bacterium
Lineage: Bacteria
Description: partial 16S ribosomal RNA
Rfam family: Bacterial small subunit ribosomal RNA
Source: RNAcentral